Phrynosoma platyrhinos (Desert horned lizard) is the source of this 72-nucleotide non-coding RNA. Lineage: Eukaryota; Metazoa; Chordata; Lepidosauria; Squamata; Phrynosomatidae. The record is from the annotation of a GenBank genome assembly.
GCCAGUGUGGCAUAGUGGUUUGAGCAUUGGACUAUGACUCUGGAGACCAGGGUUCAGUUCCCUGCUCAGCCA